GUGCCAGCAGCCGCGGUACUACCGGCAGCUCGAGUGAUGGCCGAUCUUAUUGGGCCUAAAGCGUCCGUAGCUGGCCUCGCAAGUCCGUCGGGAAAUCCAGUAGCUCAACUACUGGGCGUCCGGCGGAAACUACAAGGCUUGGGACCGGAAGACUCGAGGGGUACGUCCGGGGUAGGAGUGAAAUCCCGUAAUCCCGAACGGACCACCGAUGGCGAAAGCACCUCGAGGAGACGGCUCCGACAGUGAGGAACGAAAGCCAGGGUCUCGAACCGGAUUAGAAACCCCUGUAGUCC
RNAcentral lists this ribosomal RNA (293 nucleotides) under uncultured bacterium. RNAcentral's name for it is "partial 16S ribosomal RNA". It matches the Rfam family "Archaeal small subunit ribosomal RNA", at positions 455 to 747 of the family's 1478-position model. The record is from RNAcentral.